RNAcentral lists this ribosomal RNA (250 nucleotides) under uncultured bacterium. RNAcentral describes it as "partial 16S ribosomal RNA". It matches the Rfam family "Bacterial small subunit ribosomal RNA", at positions 57 to 305 of the family's 1533-position model. The record is from RNAcentral.
GCAAGUCGAACGGUAACGAUGGAAGCUUGCUUCCAGGCGACGAGUGGCGGACGGGUGAGUAAUGCUUGGGAAUCUGCCUUAUGGUGGGGGACAACACGGGGAAACUCGUGCUAAUACCGCAUAAGCCCUACGGGGGAAAGCGGGGGAUCUUCGGACCUCGCGCCAUUAGAUGAGCCCAAGUUGGAUUAGCUUGUUGGUGGGGUAAAGGCCUACCAAGGCGACGAUCUCUAGCUGGUCUGAGAGGAUGAUC